RNAcentral lists this ribosomal RNA (699 nucleotides) under Pseudomonas nitroreducens. Its description in RNAcentral is "partial 16S rRNA". Lineage: Bacteria; Pseudomonadati; Pseudomonadota; Gammaproteobacteria; Pseudomonadales; Pseudomonadaceae. The record is from RNAcentral.
AGUCCAGGUGGUCGCCUUCGCCACUGAGUGUUCCUUCCUAUAUCUACGCAUUUCACCGCUACACAGGAAAUUCCACCACCCUCUACCGUACUCUAGUCAGGCAGUUAUGGAUGCAGUUCCCAGGUUGAGCCCGGGGAUUUCACAUCCAUCUUACCAAACCACCUACGCGCGCUUUACGCCCAGUAAUUCCGAUUAACGCUUGCACCCUUCGUAUUACCGCGGCUGCUGGCACGAAGUUAGCCGGUGCUUAUUCUGUUGGUAACGUCAAAACAGCAAGGUAUUAACUUACUGCCCUUCCUCCCAACUUAAAGUGCUUUACAAUCCGAAGACCUUCUUCACACACGCGGCAUGGCUGGAUCAGGCUUUCGCCCAUUGUCCAAUAUUCCCCACUGCUGCCUCCCGUAGGAGUCUGGACCGUGUCUCAGUUCCAGUGUGACUGAUCAUCCUCUCAGACCAGUUACGGAUCGUCGCCUUGGUAGGCCUUUACCCCACCAACUAGCUAAUCCGACCUAGGCUCAUCUGAUAGCGCAAGGCCCGAAGGUCCCCUGCUUUCUCCCGUAGGACGUAUGCGGUAUUAGCGUUCCUUUCGAAACGUUGUCCCCCACUACCAGGCAGAUUCCUAGGCAUUACUCACCCGUCCGCCGCUGAAUCCAGGAGCAAGCUCCCAUCAUCCGCUCGACUUGCAUGUGUUAGGCCUGC